RNAcentral lists this ribosomal RNA (255 nucleotides) under uncultured bacterium. Its description in RNAcentral is "partial 16S ribosomal RNA". It matches the Rfam family "Bacterial small subunit ribosomal RNA", at positions 57 to 305 of the family's 1533-position model. The record is from RNAcentral.
GCAAGUCGAACGAGAACGGGUUAUAGCUUGCUAUAACUGUCAGCUAAGUGGCGCACGGGUGAGUAAUAUAUAGGUAACGUGCCUUCAAGAAGGGGAUAACAAUUGGAAACGAUUGCUAAUACCCUAUAUGCCUUUAAGACUUAAGUCUGCAAGGGAAAUAUUUAUAGCUUGAAGAUCGGCCUGUACAGUAUCAGUUAGUUGGUGAGGUAAUGGCUCACCAAGGCGACGAUCCCUAGCUGGUCUGAGAGGAUGAUC